GAUGGAGGAAACUGACACUACAACAGAACAGAGCUCUGGUAACACGGUGUUAUGUUACUAUAGGCGCAAAAGAGUGUUACUAGACUAAAUAGUAGCAUGUUUUGAAAUGUGUUCCAUUAGACCGUAUUACUAAGUGGUGUCCACUGUCACAUAUAAUAAUUGUUCCCAUAUGCUAGAAAUUAUGUUACCGCUCCAGUAACAU
RNAcentral lists this long non-coding RNA (202 nucleotides) under Hordeum vulgare. Its description in RNAcentral is "long non-coding RNA (HVUL_LNC000017)". The record is from RNAcentral. Lineage: Eukaryota; Viridiplantae; Streptophyta; Magnoliopsida; Poales; Poaceae.